AUGCUGGUGCCGGGCGUAACCGCUGACUUGGGUCCUUGUUGCUUCCCUGGUCCCCUGAUUCCUCCCUUGGGGUGGGCUGAGCGCGCGCACGGUGGCCUGCCACACCUGGGCGGGGCCGCGCGCAGGGCGUGGUCACUGAGGUUGUGCGCAUGCUCACUUGAGGAGUUCUUCCCUUACCGAUCCAGCGUUCCUGGAGGAAGGUCACGUACCGGUUACACGCCACCAUUUUGCCCUCAGUGCGCAUGCUUGAGCUCACUCACUCCACUCCUGAGAUCUUACUGGGAUCAUCACCAGUUUCAGUUCUAGGGGUUAGAAGCCCAAGACCAGAGUGGCGGCAUGGCUGGUUUCUGUGGGGCCCACCCCUUGGUUUAUGGACGGCCGUCUUCCUGCGGAGGAGCGUGCAGCAGGGAGCAGAGGGAGAGGAGGCAAGUUCUCUCCUGUCUCUUCUCAUAAGGGCACUAAUCCCAUCAUGAGAACCCCACCCUCGUGACUUCAUGACCUCCCAAAGGUCCCACCUGCAAACACCAUUCCACUGAGGCUGAUGGUGUCAACGUAUGAAUGUAGAGCGGAAAUAAAUAUGCAUUCUAUGACCCGGUGCAGCCUGGGGUUCAGGAUUAAAAAAAUAUAUAUUUCUCCAGUUGUCUAAUACACGUCUAAGCUUGAAAACCACCGGGUUAGGUAAAGUCUGCAAGACGGUCAGUUAAUUUUCUGUGACUGAUUGUUUCUUAUCAUCUGAAACCCUGCACAGGGCAGUGUUUUCAGAAGGUGGCAGGCCAUCAUCAUCCCUCCGUGUAACCUCAGGAAAAGCCAGCGUACGUGAGCUGGGGGAGUGCCAGCUUCCCUCUCGGGCACAGAGGUGCCAAGGGGUGGCUCGGGUGUCUCAUACAGACCCCAAAUGCCUUGACAGCCAUCGUUGACGUGAGUCACAGAGAGGAUCUCAGACAAUGGUUAGCAAGCUCAUCUGUUAGGUAGGACUGGGUCCCAGCCCUGGUGUCGCCACUCACUGGCUGUGUGACCUGGGUUAUGUGAUUCAGUUCUCGGGCUUCAAAUCCAUCCCGCAUAUUUCCUCACAGGAUUAUUGCGAGGAUUUAAUGAA
Molecule: long non-coding RNA, 1096 nt
Filed under: Callithrix jacchus (white-tufted-ear marmoset)
Lineage: Eukaryota; Metazoa; Chordata; Mammalia; Primates; Cebidae
Description: lncRNA (ENSCJAG00000084048.1)
Source: RNAcentral